GAUGAACGCUAGCGGCAGGCUUAACACAUGCAAGUCGAGGGGUAACAGGGAAAAGCUUGCUUUUUUGCUGACGACCGGCGAACGGGUGCGUAACGCGUAUAGAAUCUGCCUUGUACAGGAGGAUAGCCUUUAGAAAUGAAGAUUAAUACUCCAUAAUAUUGGGAAGUGGCAUCACUAUCUAAUUAAAGAUUUAUCGGUACAAGAUGACUAUGCGUCCUAUUAGCUAGAUGGUAAGGUAACGGCUUACCAUGGCGACGAUAGGUAGGGGGUCUGAGAGGAUUAUCCCCCACACUGGUACUGAGACACGGACCAGACUCCUACGGGAGGCAGCAGUGAGGAAUAUUGGUCAAUGGAGGCAACUCUGAACCAGCCAUGCCGCGUGCAGGAAGACUGCCCUAUGGGUUGUAAACUGCUUUUAUACAGGAAGAAACUUAUCCACGUGUGGGUAACUGACGGUACUGUAAGAAUAAGCACCGGCUAACUCCGUGCCAGCCGCCGCCGUAAUAC
Molecule: ribosomal RNA, 507 nt
Filed under: uncultured bacterium
Lineage: Bacteria
Description: bacterial SSU rRNA
Rfam family: Bacterial small subunit ribosomal RNA
Source: RNAcentral